Molecule: ribosomal RNA, 500 nt
Filed under: uncultured eukaryote
Lineage: Eukaryota
Description: SSU rRNA
Rfam family: Eukaryotic small subunit ribosomal RNA
Source: RNAcentral
GCCGGUCACGAAAAGCAUGCAUGUCUAAGUUUAAACAACUUUAUACUGUGAAACUGCGUACGCUCAUAUAUCAGUAAUAAUUUAUUUCGACAGUACCUUACUACAUCGGAUAACCGUAGUAAUUUCUAGAGCUAAUACAUUGCGUUAAAGUCCUGACUCUCGCGGGGAGGGAUGUAUUUAUUAGAUAAAAAACCAAUGCGGCCUCGGCCGGUUUUGUGGUGAAUCAUAGUAACUAAUCGAAUUGCACGGCUUUACGUCGGCAAUAGUUCAUUCAAAUUUCUGCCCUAUCAGCUUUCGACGGUAGUGUCGUGGACUACCGUGGCGUUAACGGGUAACGGGGAAUUAGGGUUCGAUUCCGGAGAGGGAGCCUGAGAAAUGGCUACCACAUCCAAGGAAGGCAGCAGGCGCGCAAAUUACCCAAUCUCGAUACGAGGAGGUAGUGACAAAAAAUAACAAUACCGGGCCUACAUAGGUCUGGUAAUUUGGAAUGAGUACAAUUU